UUGGUAACAAGGUUCCAAUUGACCACCCUUGGCUCCACAGCACUAAGAAGCUCAAGGAAGAACAUCCCUGUUGACAGACUCUUAUCCUUGAAGUUGUCGAUUUGAGAAGUUCUGCCUGUACUUUUAACCUUGCAGUUUGUCCAUUUUAGAAUAUCAGCAUCAGUUAUUUCCUUCCCUUGCGAGUGAGAUCUCAAGUUUUUCAGGAGUUGAAGCAUAUUAUAUCUCAUCNNNUAAGAAGGCAAGAAUGAGCUUCUUGUUUCCUUGUACAAUGUCGUUUCCACCUACAUUAACAAGGGAAAAUUUCAAUUGACUCCCAAUCUUUAUCACUUGAUUGCAGUUCUCUACUUUUCUGAACGGCAUCUUGAUUGGAGGCUUUGAUGCCUGUUUCCAGUUAACUGAUCCAGGAGAAAUUUUGUCAAGCACUUCUAAAAGUAACCAUCCAUUUCUAACAUCCUCAAAUACAUUGUUAACAUAAGU
Molecule: unclassified non-coding RNA, 477 nt
Filed under: Hevea brasiliensis (rubber tree)
Lineage: Eukaryota; Viridiplantae; Streptophyta; Magnoliopsida; Malpighiales; Euphorbiaceae
Source: RNAcentral